Molecule: long non-coding RNA, 531 nt
Filed under: Chinchilla lanigera (long-tailed chinchilla)
Lineage: Eukaryota; Metazoa; Chordata; Mammalia; Rodentia; Chinchillidae
Description: lncRNA (ENSCLAG00000027401.1)
Source: RNAcentral
CCGGAGAUAGCUUGCUUCCUCUCUCACCCUCACCAUGGAAGGAAGAGUGAGACGCACCUGCUCACAAGCCAAGCCAGGAAACCAGCCCUCAGGAGAGCACACCCUGCUGGUACACUGAUCUCAGAAUUCCGGCCUCCAGACUGUGAAAAAUUAAUGUGUAUUGUUGAAGCCACUUAUUCUACGAAAUUUUGUUAUAGGAGAUCUGGAAGACUGAGACAGAUAAAUGAAGAGAUUAGCUCCAAGGGUUCUCCCCAGAUAUUGUAAGAAGAAAUUCAAAUGUGUUUCACUCUUCAAAUCAAAUUUAAGGAAGUACUCUGUUGAUGCUGCAUAAUUCUAAAUAACUGUGAAGCCUACUUUUAGGCAGAAUAUAAAUAACAUGCUUGAGAAUAGGAAUCUAUGAAUAGUUCUCUGAGUAAAAGAACGGUGUAGCUAAUUUCACUCCAUUGAGGUAAUGCUAAACAAGAUGAGUUGUUUUAUUUCAUACAAAGGAAUGACAAAAUUAAAGCAUGUGAAAAUGUGAUAAGAUUUUCA